RNAcentral lists this transfer RNA (82 nucleotides) under Gemmatimonadaceae bacterium. Its description in RNAcentral is "tRNA-Leu". It matches the Rfam family "tRNA". From Rfam's summary of the family: Transfer RNA (tRNA) molecules are approximately 80 nucleotides in length. Their secondary structure includes four short double-helical elements and three loops (D, anti-codon, and T loops). Lineage: Bacteria; Pseudomonadati; Gemmatimonadota; Gemmatimonadia; Gemmatimonadales; Gemmatimonadaceae. The record is from RNAcentral.
GCGGGAGUGGCGGAAUUGGUAGACGCGCAGGACUUAGGAUCCUGUGCCGUGAGGCGUGUGGGUUCGAGUCCCACCUCUCGCA